UGCGUAGGCGGCUUGUUAAGUCAGGAGUGAAAGGCCAUGGCUCAACUAUGGGAUUGCUUUUGAUACUGACGAGCUUGGAUUAGGACGAGGUUGGCGGAAUGUGGCAAGUAGCGGUGAAAUGCAUAGAUAUGCCAUAGAAUACCGAUUGCGAAGGCAGCUGACUAGACCUAUAUUGACGCUGAGGCACGAAAGCGUGGGGAGCGAACAGGAUUAGAUACCCUGGUAGUCCACGCCCUAAACGAUGCUAACUCGAUGUUCGGCCGCAAGGUGGAGCAUCCAAGCAAAUGCGAUAAGUUAGCCACCUGGGGAGUACGCCCGCAAGGGUGAA
This 328-nucleotide ribosomal RNA is filed under the name uncultured Bacteroidota bacterium. RNAcentral describes it as "bacterial SSU rRNA". It matches the Rfam family "Bacterial small subunit ribosomal RNA", at positions 568 to 898 of the family's 1533-position model. Lineage: Bacteria; Pseudomonadati; Bacteroidota. The record is from RNAcentral.